This 90-nucleotide small nucleolar RNA is filed under the name Papio anubis (olive baboon). RNAcentral describes it as "Small nucleolar RNA SNORD116 (ENSPANG00000042659.1)". It matches the Rfam family "Small nucleolar RNA SNORD116". Rfam says of the family: HBII-85 is a member of the C/D class of snoRNAs, which contain the C (UGAUGA) and D (CUGA) box motifs. The record is from Rfam by way of RNAcentral. Lineage: Eukaryota; Metazoa; Chordata; Mammalia; Primates; Cercopithecidae.
GGAUCGAUGAUACUCUAUGCAUACAUUCCUUGGAAAGCUGAACAAAAAUGAGUGAAACUCUAUACCGGCUAUCCUCACGAACUGAGGUCC